RNAcentral lists this ribosomal RNA (415 nucleotides) under uncultured bacterium. Its description in RNAcentral is "bacterial SSU rRNA". It matches the Rfam family "Bacterial small subunit ribosomal RNA", at positions 355 to 787 of the family's 1533-position model. The record is from RNAcentral.
UAGGGAAUAUUGCACAAUGGGGGAAACCCUGAUGCAGCGACGCCGCGUGAAGGAAGAAGUAUCUCGGUAUGUAAACUUCUAUCAGCAGGGAAGACAAUGACGGUACCUGACUAAGAAGCCCCGGCUAACUACGUGCCAGCAGCCGCGGUAAUACGUAGGGGGCAAGCGUUAUCCGGAUUUACUGGGUGUAAAGGGAGCGUAGACGGAUCUGCAAGUCUGGAGUGAAAGCCCGGGGCUCAACCCCGGGACUGCUUUGGAAACUGUAGGUCUAGAGUGCCGGAGAGGUAAGCGGAAUUCCUAGUGUAGCGGUGAAAUGCGUAGAUAUUAGGAGGAACACCAGUGGCGAAGGCAGCAUACCGGCUCCAUACUGACGCUGAGGCACGAAAGCGUGGGGAGCAAACAGGAUUAGAUACCC